This 166-nucleotide ribosomal RNA is filed under the name uncultured Azospirillum sp. Its description in RNAcentral is "partial 16S ribosomal RNA". It matches the Rfam family "Bacterial small subunit ribosomal RNA", at positions 338 to 521 of the family's 1533-position model. The record is from RNAcentral. Lineage: Bacteria; Pseudomonadati; Pseudomonadota; Alphaproteobacteria; Rhodospirillales; Azospirillaceae.
CCUACGGGAGGCAGCAGUAGGGAAUCUUCCGCAAUGGGCGCAAGCCUGAUCCAGCAAUGCCGCGUGAGUGAGGAAGGCCUUAGGGUUGUAAAGCUCUUUCGCACGCGACGAUGAUGACGGUAGCGUGAGAAGAAGCCCCGGCUAACUUCGUGCCAGCAGCCGCGGU